CCCGCACAAGCGGUGGAGUAUGUGGUUUAAUUCGAUGCAACGCGAAGAACCUUACUGGUCUUGACAUCCCGGAGACCCUUAGGAAACUAGGGGUGCUUCCAUCUGGAAGAAUCUGGAGACAGGUGCUGCAUGGCUGUCGUCAGCUCGUGUCGUGAGAUGUUGGGUUAAGUCCCGCAACGAGCGCAACCCUUGCCUUUAGUUGCCAGCAGUUCGGCUGGGCACUCUAAAGGGACUGCCGGUGUUAAACCGGAGGAAGGUGGGGAUGACGUCAAGUCCUCAUGGCCUUUAUGACCAGGGCUACACACGUACUACAAUGGCCGAUACAAAGGGCAGCGACACUGCGAGGUGAAGCCAAUCCCGUAAAAUCGGUCUCAGUCCGGAUUGGAGUCUGCAACUCGACUCCAUGAAGUUGGAAUCGCUAGUAAUCGUGGAUCAGCAUGCCACGGUGAAUACGUUCCCGGGCCUU
Molecule: ribosomal RNA, 466 nt
Filed under: uncultured Desulfobulbus sp.
Lineage: Bacteria; Pseudomonadati; Thermodesulfobacteriota; Desulfobulbia; Desulfobulbales; Desulfobulbaceae
Description: bacterial SSU rRNA
Rfam family: Bacterial small subunit ribosomal RNA
Source: RNAcentral